RNAcentral lists this ribosomal RNA (497 nucleotides) under uncultured bacterium. Its description in RNAcentral is "partial 16S ribosomal RNA". It matches the Rfam family "Bacterial small subunit ribosomal RNA", at positions 28 to 507 of the family's 1533-position model. The record is from RNAcentral.
GAUGAACGCUGGCGGCGUGCCUAAUACAUGCAAGUCGAGCGAACAGAUAAGGAGCUUGCUCCUUUGACGUUAGCGGCGGACGGGUGAGUAACACGUGGGUAACCUACCUAUAAGACUGGGAUAACUUCGGGAAACCGGAGCUAAUACCGGAUAACAUUUGGAACCGCAUGGUUCUAAAGUGAAAGAUGGUUUUGCCAUCACUUAUAGAUGGACCCGCGCCGUAUUAGCUAGUUGGUAAGGUAACGGCUUACCAAGGCGACGAUACGUAGCCGACCUGAGAGGGUGAUCGGCCACACUGGAACUGAGACACGGUCCAGACUCCUACGGGAGGCAGCAGUAGGGAAUCUUCCGCAAUGGGCGAAAGCCUGACGGAGCAACGCCGCGUGAGUGAUGAAGGGUUUCGGCUCGUAAAACUCUGUUAUUAGGGAAGAACAAACGUGUAAGUAACUGUGCACGUCUUGACGGUACCUAAUCAGAAAGCCACGGCUAACUACGUG